Molecule: ribosomal RNA, 497 nt
Filed under: uncultured bacterium
Lineage: Bacteria
Description: partial 16S ribosomal RNA
Rfam family: Bacterial small subunit ribosomal RNA
Source: RNAcentral
GAUGAACGCUGGCGGCGUGCCUAAUACAUGCAAGUCGAGCGAACGGACGAGAAGCUUGCUUCUCUGAUGUUAGCGGCGGACGGGUGAGUAACACGUGGAUAACCUACCUAUAAGACUGGGAUAACUUCGGGAAACCGGAGCUAAUACCGGAUAAUAUUUUGAACCGCAUGGUUCAAAAGUGAAAGACGGUCUUGCUGUCACUUAUAGAUGGAUCCGCGCUGCAUUAGCUAGUUGGUAAGGUAACGGCUUACCAAGGCAACGAUGCAUAGCCGACCUGAGAGGGUGAUCGGCCACACUGGAACUGAGACACGGUCCAGACUCCUACGGGAGGCAGCAGUAGGGAAUCUUCCGCAAUGGGCGAAAGCCUGACGGAGCAACGCCGCGUGAGUGGUGAAGGUCUUCGGAUCGUAAAACUCUGUUAUUGGGGAAGAACAUAUGUGUAAGUAACUGUGCACAUCUUGACGGUACCUAAUCAGAAAGCCACGGCUAACUACGUG